This 465-nucleotide ribosomal RNA is filed under the name Vreelandella stevensii. RNAcentral's name for it is "partial 16S ribosomal RNA". It matches the Rfam family "Bacterial small subunit ribosomal RNA", at positions 338 to 795 of the family's 1533-position model. Lineage: Bacteria; Pseudomonadati; Pseudomonadota; Gammaproteobacteria; Oceanospirillales; Halomonadaceae. The record is from RNAcentral.
CCUACGGGAUGCUGCAGUGGGGAAUAUUGGACAAUGGGGGGAACCCUGAUCCAGCCAUGCCGCGUGUGUGAAGAAGGCCCUCGGGUUGUAAAGCACUUUCAGUGAGGAAGAACGCCUGGUGGUUAAUACCCAUCAGGAAAGACAUCACUCACAGAAGAAGCACCGGCUAACUCCGUGCCAGCAGCCGCGGUAAUACGGAGGGUGCGAGCGUUAAUCGGAAUUACUGGGCGUAAAGCGCGCGUAGGUGGCUUGAUAAGCCGGUUGUGAAAGCCCCGGGCUCAACCUGGGAACGGCAUCCGGAACUGUCAAGCUAGAGUGCAGGAGAGGAAGGUAGAAUUCCCGGUGUAGCGGUGAAAUGCGUAGAGAUCGGGAGGAAUACCAGUGGCGAAGGCGGCCUUCUGGACUGACACUGACACUGAGGUGCGAAAGCGUGGGUAGCAAACAGGAUUAGAUACCCUGGUAGUC